GCACUGGUGGUUCCUUGGUAGAAUUCAUACCUUCCACGCAGGAGACCUGGGUUUAAUUCCUGGCCAGUGCA
RNAcentral lists this transfer RNA (71 nucleotides) under Loxodonta africana (African savanna elephant). It matches the Rfam family "tRNA". From Rfam's summary of the family: Transfer RNA (tRNA) molecules are approximately 80 nucleotides in length. Their secondary structure includes four short double-helical elements and three loops (D, anti-codon, and T loops). Further hydrogen bonds mediate the characteristic L-shaped molecular structure. tRNAs have two regions of fundamental functional importance: the anti-codon, which is responsible for specific mRNA codon recognition, and the 3' end, to which the tRNAs corresponding amino acid is attached (by aminoacyl-tRNA synthetases). tRNAs cope with the degeneracy of the genetic code in two manners: having more than one tRNA (with a specific anti-codon) for a particular amino acid; and 'wobble' base-pairing, i.e. permitting non-standard base-pairing at the 3rd anti-codon position. Lineage: Eukaryota; Metazoa; Chordata; Mammalia; Proboscidea; Elephantidae. The record is from Rfam by way of RNAcentral.